Molecule: ribosomal RNA, 459 nt
Filed under: uncultured bacterium
Lineage: Bacteria
Description: partial 16S ribosomal RNA
Rfam family: Bacterial small subunit ribosomal RNA
Source: RNAcentral
CUACGGGAGGCAGCAGUAAGGAAUAUUGGUCAAUGGACGCAAGUCUGAACCAGCCAUGCCGCGUGAAGGAUUAAGGUCCUCUGGAUUGUAAACUUCUUUUAUAUGGGACGAAAAAAGGUCUUUCUAGACCCCUUGACGGUACCAUAUGAAUAAGCACCGGCUAACUCCGUGCCAGCAGCCGCGGUAAUACGGAGGGUGCAAGCGUUAUCCGGAUUCACUGGGUUUAAAGGGUGCGUAGGCGGGUAGGUAAGUCAGUGGUGAAAUCCUGGAGCUCAACUCCAGAACUGCCAUUGAUACUAUCUAUCUUGAAUAUUGUGGAGGUAAGCGGAAUAUGUCAUGUAGCGGUGAAAUGCUUAGAUAUGACAUAGAACACCCAUUGCGAAGGCAGCUUACUACGCAUAUAUUGACGCUGAGGCACGAAAGCGUGGGGAUCAAACAGGAUUAGAUACCCCGGUAGUC